Molecule: ribosomal RNA, 478 nt
Filed under: uncultured organism
Description: partial 16S ribosomal RNA
Rfam family: Bacterial small subunit ribosomal RNA
Source: RNAcentral
UACACUCCUACGGGAGGCAGCAGUGGGGAAUUUUGGACAAUGGGCGAAAGCCUGAUCCAGCAAUGCCGCGUGAGUGAAGAAGGCCUUCGGGUUGUAAAGCUCUUUUGUCAGGGAAGAAACGGUGAGAGCUAAUAUCUUUUGCUAAUGACGGUACCUGAAGAAUAAGCACCGGCUAACUACGUGCCAACAGCCGCGGUAAUACGUAGGGUGCAAGCGUUAAUCGGAAUUACUGGGCGUAAAGCGUGCGCAGGCGGUUUUGUAAGUCUGAUGUGAAAUCCCCGGGCUCAACCUGGGAAUUGCAUUGGAGACUGCAAGGCUAGAAUCUGGCAGAGGGGGGUAGAAUUCCACGUGUAGCAGUGAAAUGCGUAGAUAUGUGGAGGAACACCGAUGGCGAAGGCAGCCCCCUGGGUCAAGAUUGACGCUCAUGCACGAAAGCGUGGGGAGCAAACAGGAUUAGAUACCCUUGUAGUCCCAUGAU